AGUGAACGCUGGCGGCAGGCCUAAUACAUGCAAGUCGAACGGCAGCACAGUGGAGCUUGCUCCAUGGGUGGCGAGUGGCGGACGGGUGAGGAAUACAUGGGAAUCUGCCCAGUCGUGGGGGAUAACGUAGGGAAACUUACGCUAAUACCGCAUGCGCCCUUCGGGGGAAAGCCGGGGACCGUAAGGCCUGGCGCGAUUGGAUGAGCCCAUGUCGGAUUAGCUAGUUGGCGGGGUAACGGCCCACCAAGGCGACGAUCCGUAGCUGGUCUGAGAGGAUGAUCAGCCACACUGGAACUGAGACACGGUCCAGACUCCUACGGGAGGCAGCAGUAGGGAAUAUUGGACAAUGGGCGCAAGCCUGAUCCAGCCAUGCCGCGUGAGUGAAGAAGGCCCUCGGGUUGUAAAGCUCUUUUGUCCGGAAGAAAGCACUGGGUUAAUACCCCGGUGUCCUGACGGUACCGGAAGAUAAGCACCGGCUAACUUCGUGCCAGCAGCCG
Molecule: ribosomal RNA, 497 nt
Filed under: uncultured bacterium
Lineage: Bacteria
Description: bacterial SSU rRNA
Rfam family: Bacterial small subunit ribosomal RNA
Source: RNAcentral